Molecule: non-coding RNA, 26 nt
Filed under: Mus musculus (house mouse)
Lineage: Eukaryota; Metazoa; Chordata; Mammalia; Rodentia; Muridae
Source: RNAcentral
UCAGAGAUUGCCAAGUAAAGCGGGGA